AGUGAACGCUGGCGGUAGGCCUAACACAUGCAAGUCGAACGGCAGCACAGUAAGAGCUUGCUCUUACGGGUGGCGAGUGGCGGACGGGUGAGGAAUACAUCGGAAUCUACUUUUUCGUGGGGGAUAACGUAGGGAAACUUACGCUAAUACCGCAUACGACCUACGGGUGAAAGCAGGGGAUCUUCGGACCUUGCGCGAUUGAAUGGGCCGAUGUCGGAUUAGCUAGUUGGCGGGGUAAAGGCCCACCAAGGCGACGAUCCGUAGCUGGUCUGAGAGGAUGAUCAGCCACACUGGAACUGAGACACGGUUCAGACUCCUACGGGAGGCAGCAGUGGGGAAUAUUGGACAAUGGGCGCAAGCCUGAUCCAGCCAUACCGCGUGGGUGAAGAAGGCCUUCGGGUUGUAAAGCCCUUUUGUUGGGAAAGAAAAGCAGCAGGUUAAUACCCCGCUGUUCUGACGGUACCCAAAGAAUAAGCACCGGCUAACUUCGUG
RNAcentral lists this ribosomal RNA (492 nucleotides) under uncultured bacterium. RNAcentral's name for it is "partial 16S ribosomal RNA". It matches the Rfam family "Bacterial small subunit ribosomal RNA", at positions 29 to 507 of the family's 1533-position model. The record is from RNAcentral.